RNAcentral lists this ribosomal RNA (683 nucleotides) under Myrcia micropetala. RNAcentral describes it as "eukaryotic LSU rRNA". The stretch from base 250 to 413 matches the Rfam family "5.8S ribosomal RNA". The record is from RNAcentral. Lineage: Eukaryota; Viridiplantae; Streptophyta; Magnoliopsida; Myrtales; Myrtaceae.
UUGUCGAAUCCUGCCUAGCAGAAUGACCAGAGAACUAGUAACGAACUCAAUGGGGAUGGUGGGGUAUUUUCCCAUCGUCCCUAGACACGCUCGGAUCGCACGGGCGCCUAGAGCGCUCGGGCUUUUCUUGGCGGCACAACGAACCCCGGCGCGGAAUGCGCCAAGGAACUUGAACAAGAGAGCGAUGCUCCCAUCACCCCAGACAUGGCGCGUGUGUGGGAUGCCAUGCAAUCUCCUAUUAUUCAUAACGACUCUCGGCAACGGAUAUCUCGGCUCUCGCAUCGAUGRAGAACGCAGCRAACUGCGAUACUUGGUGUGAAUUGCAAAAUCCCGUGAAUCAUCGAGUCUUUGAACGCAAGUUGCGCCCGAAGCCAUCCUUUUGGACGGACGAGGGCACGUUUGCCUGGGUGUCACAAACGGCGUUGCCCUUAAUCCCUCGCCUUGAAUUGGGCGGGCGGGACUCGGGUGCGUAUGUUGGCCUCCCGCGACGAUUCUGUCCCGGUUGGCCGAAAAUCGAGCGCUGGAGCGAUUAGCACCACGACAUUCGGUGGUUGAUGAGACCCCAAUGAUCAAUGUCAUGCGCGUCGCUCGUGCAAGUGCUCCACGAAUCUACUCUUUACCAACGCGACCCCAGGUCAAGCGGGGCUACCCGCUGAGUUUAAGCAUAUCAAUAAGCGGAGGAA